This 2602-nucleotide small RNA is filed under the name Histoplasma capsulatum var. duboisii H88. RNAcentral's name for it is "Histoplasma capsulatum H88 hypothetical RNA". The stretch from base 1221 to 1290 matches the Rfam family "bZIP non canonical Hac1/Xbp1 intron". The record is from RNAcentral. Lineage: Eukaryota; Fungi; Ascomycota; Eurotiomycetes; Onygenales; Ajellomycetaceae.
ACGGAUUCGGAAUUCCUCCCAGGGCGACAGCAAUACGAGGCGACAGCGAGGCCCGACCGAGCGGUCGAUAUCAUAUACAGGCAACAUUCGACACAACAGCCAAUCGCCAAUAGCCAGCAGGCAGCAGGCAGCAGGCAGCACCUUACCCAGCCUUCGGUCGAGGUCAGGGUGAGACAGCACAGCAGGCCAAAAAAGGAGCGAGAAAAGGACAAUGCCACCGUGGCCCUAACCUCUGGAUCCCCACUCCCGCUACCGUUGUUCUUGACUCCCUUCCCAAACCACCACCACCCUUCGUCUGAGCAACCUUUUGGUUGAUAAGAAUAAAUCAAGAAGAGAUAAGAACGCUUGAUAGAACACUGGAUAAAAUCCACUCGCCUAGCGCUCUCGCCUACUCACUCUCACCCUCACCCUCUCACCAACUGGCAUCCAUCAAUCUCACGCAACUCCCCCUAACCUCUUACCACCUCCACCAUCAUGACUACACCGUUCUCCUAUCUAGACGCCAUGUCUCCUCCACCGUGUUCAGACCCCCUCCAGUUGACCGUCGCGCCCGCUGAGACUACGUUCUCCUUCGCCCAUCCUGUCACUGCAACAACAGUGCCGCUGGAUACCACCACUGUAACUACUACCACCGCUCCAACUACAACCACCACUGCUGCACCCGCUGCCACCGCUGCAGUCACUACCACCAUUGCCACCACCCUCCCUCCCAAACCAGAAGAGAAAAAGCCUGUCAAGAAGAGAAAGUCGUGGGGUCAGGAACUACCCAUCCCCAAGACGAAUCUUCCUCCAAGAAAACGAGCCAAGACCGAAGAUGAGAAGGAACAACGCCGUAUAGAACGCGUUCUCAGGAACCGGGCUGCGGCUCAGACUUCCCGAGAGCGGAAGAGACUCGAGGUCGAGAAACUCGAAGGCGAGAAGCUGGAGAUGGAACACCAGAAUGGAAUCCUCCUCCAACGCCUGGCCCAAAUGGAAGCUGAAAACAAACGUCUGAGCCAACAAGUCGCCCAGCUGUCCGCCGAAAUCCGCUCCUCCUCGUCGAGAGGCUCUUCCUCCAGAGGCUCCUCCCCACAAUCCAUCAUCUCCGGACUCACCUCUCCAAACCUCCUCCCGGCCAUGUUCAAACAAGAACGGGACGAAAUGGUCUCCCUGGACAACAUUCCAUUCCUCACCCCGCCCAUCUCCGCCUACUCUCCCAGCGUGAAGAGCUGCGAUCUCACCGAUUCCUCCGACCUGACACAACAUCCUGCAGCGAUGUUGUGUGACCUGCAGUGUCAGUCGGAGGCGUCGCUACCAUCGACCGCUCCUCAACUGCUGUGGCGCCCUCCCCAAGCCUCUCCAAGUCCCUCUUCAACCCCCGCUCCAAUCCCGCUGUCCCUGCCCCUCCCACCUCUCACCCAGCAGCUGCAACAGCAGCUCCUCUUGAAACUAGCCAUCCUCUCAAUCAUUCAACACCUCUUUCAGACGAUGACUUCCACCGCCUAUUCUACCCUUCUAAUCCCUUUGACCCGGAUCUUUCACUCAUUGAAACAGGGGUCCCCUUUGACCUUUUCCCCACUGGAGAUCCAGCAGCACUUGCCUUUGAUUCUCUGGUUGAUUUCGACCCCGACCCAGUUAACCUCGACGGCACCAACAACAACAACAAAAACAACAACAACAACAACAACGCCUCCACCUGCCCCUCCCCAACGAGCCUCGGACCUUCCGACAUCGGGCCGCCCAGUCUUUCGAAUCCGCCUUUUCACCCGCCUUCUAGCGUGCAGCCCAGCUUUGGCGCGUCCACUUCGCGAUGCGACGAGCAAGGCAUUGCAGCUUGUGGCUAGUGGUGCAGCGCUGGAUUUGGAUAGCCUGUUGGCGUCUCCGGUGUCCGGCAGCGUUCUGAUGGGUCGCGGUGAUGGCAGCGGUGGCCAAUUUGUUGAUAGUAGUAAUAGUAGUCGUUGUCGUCGUCGAGUAGUAGGCAAUGGGCUGUUGGCAAUGAUCCGGGCGAUUGACUGUAUCGAGCGGGCCAAGGCGCGGAAGCGAACGUGGAAGUUGACAACGAAAGGACAGUGGUUGGCUGCGGGGUUAGGGAAGGCUGUGGCGGCGGUGUCUGUGCGGAGGCGGAGGGCCCUCCAGAGCCGGACGCGGUUAUCUGGUGGUGGUGGUGGCCGUGCGUAGACUCCGAGUUUCAGGUGCCGGGCGGCAUUGGAAAAAGUUAUUUGUGGCGAUUUACAAAGUUCCUGGGUCUGGUUUAUGGGUCUGGUCUGAUUUGUAUUCCAAGAUCUCUCCUUUUUAAGUAGAGGAGGGUUUGAAAAGACGUGAUGAUCAUCUAUUAUUAUGAUUUUCGUUUGUGUUUUUUGAUUGUUUUUUCUGUCUGUCUGUCAAGCGGAUUCAGUUUACCUUUGGAAUUGUCUUUUCUGGAUUUUGAUUUUGAUUUGACAAAUUCAUCCAAUCAUUCCUCCUCCCUCCACUCUUUCUCUUGUACAAACAUUGUACCUACUUUUGAUCCGAUUUCCCUGCCACCAUCUAUAUAUAUAAAUUCAUGUCCCUUUCACUAUACAUAUAAAUAUAUUACAUGUAUAUACAUAACUAUAUAUAAAACAAAAGAACUCAACAUGCAAUG